This is a long non-coding RNA of Stegostoma tigrinum, 1854 nucleotides long. RefSeq lists it as uncharacterized. The record is from RefSeq and is a predicted model, not a curated record. The transcript is spliced from 4 exons. NCBI's taxonomy places the organism in Eukaryota, Metazoa, Chordata, Chondrichthyes, Orectolobiformes, Stegostomatidae.
CAUUCACGAGAACGGUGCAGGGUUACUGAGGGAAUACGAACCGCAGCUGCUGAAGAAUCCGAGAUAACACAGUGUACAGUUGGAUGAACACAGCAGGCCAAGCAGCAUCAGAAGAGCAGGAAAGCUGACGUUUCGGGCCUAGAUCCUUCGCUGAGACCAAGAUACCAGCGAUCGUUGCCAAAGCCCUGUUGCCCGUGGAGAAGGUGAUGUUUAACUUUCGUGUCCUGCUGCAGUUUGUAUGAUGAAGGUGCUCCCACAAUGCGGCCAUUUGAGAAGUUACAGAUCAUUCAUCUGGCGAUACUGAAGAGCUAAUGGUGAUAUUACAAGUGGACUUUCAGGUGGGAAGCUCAAUAAUUGUAACACGAAACUGACAGAAUUACUCAAUUCAUCAGCACCUGGAUAUUCGCAUUGUGUAUGCUACCAGGCCUGCUGAGCUUACCGAGCAAAUGACAUUGCAGAGGGCAUUGCAGUCUCCUCAGCUCUUUACCUGGUGUCCAUAGCAGCUAUGGAUCUCAUGAUGGAAACAUAAACCAAGACGUUGUAUGAUUUCUAGUAAAUAUUUUCUAUUUAGUCUUCUGUCCAUCACUUCCCUAGAGGCUGAGAUACUGUUCUGGGGACCUAGGUGUGAACCCAUCUGGAAAUAAGAAUUUGAUGACUGUGAAUCCAUUGUCUUUGUUGGAAAAACCCAUCUGUUCACCGAUGGCCUUUAGGGAAGGAGACUGCCAUUCUUAUCCAGUGAUGUGAUCAUCCCAUGAAUGAAUUUUUAAAAAAAAUUUAAAAAAAACUCCUGCAAAUACAUUUAACUCUGUCUUAAUUUAUUUGACAGCUGACAGUUCAAACUGCUUGAUGGUCACUUUCUCUUUUGAUCAAGUUGUGGCCAUUUCAUGGUUGAAACCAUAGUUAUUCUCGUAUGAACAGUGCAUGCUCUGACAUGCCACUUAUGAACCAGACAUCCACGUUGACCGUAUCCUGAUGCUGUGUACCAUGAAAGCGAAAUUCUUCACCAUCUUAUCGACUUGUGUUGCUAUUUCAGGGAGCUAUGGACUUGAACCUCCUAAACUCCCGAAAACCUUGAGAAUUUCAUCAAACUGACCUCCAAUGGCAGGAAUGGACAGGGUCAGCUUGGAUUGAUGAACAUAAUUCAGGCUCAACAAGUCUAUUGCAGCAUUUGAGAACGUAAUUAGUAGUGAGUGUGGCCACCUCUUUGUACUGUAGUGAUACAGAUUCCCUGAUCCUGAUUGCCCCAAAUGGCUGACUGACAGUGUCAAAGCCCCUGGGCUGAAAUCGAAUGAUUCCUUGGACAUGCUGUGUCAGGAUCUCCUGACUGAAUCCUGUCUCCCUUGCCCUGACUGAGAACUGUUUCCCUGAGACUUGGAGACGUGACCAUUUGGUUGAAAAAAACGCAUUAGUUGCCACAGCUGCUGACCAGGCCUUGACUGACUGCUGGUAAUAACAAUGCUAAGCUGCCUGGCUUAUGCCUGUGAUAAGCAACCAGGCAAGCCAGGAGCACUGUGAGACAUUAGGUUCUAGUUGAGACAUCAAAGUGCCAAAAUGCCAGGGAAAGGCAGAGAUAUUGUGCCAGGCCCUGAGCAGAACAUGUCUCAGGUGCUGAAAAGCAUGUAGAGUUCGGACAGCAAGAAUGUACUUUGUAGACAGGCAAUUCUGCAUCUUGAUGUAGCAUUUUUAUUUCACUCUGGCUCAUUUUGCUAGAUCUGCAAAUAUCUAUUGGUCUGGCUAAUGUGAGAAUUGGCUUUCGGCGUAAUAUGCCACUGACUUGGUCAUUCGCAGUUGUGUCCCACAUCAGUGAGUCAGUAAUCUGAUUAAACUCUCAGGCCUCGACUUGAGAAAAAUGAA